CAGUUAAAAAGCUCGUAGUUGGAUUUCUGCGGGGGCGGGGCGGCCGGAUGCUUAUAUGCAUCUCGAGCUAGCACUUCCCCCGCAUCCUGCCGCGAACCGUGCUACCAUUAGUUUGGUGGCGCUGGGGAUCGGCUCGUUUACUUUGAGAAAAAUAGAGUGUUCAAAGCAGGCCACACGCCUUGAAUAAGUUAGCAUGGAAUAAUGAUAAAGGACUUCGGUUCUAUUUUGUUGGUGUUCGGGACUGAAGUAAUGAUUGAUAGGGACAGUUGGGGCGGUCAGUAUUCCAAAGCGAGAGGUGAAAUUCUUAGACCUUCGGAAGACUAACAGCUGCGAAAGCGUUCCGCAAGGAUGUUCCCUUUGAUCAGGAACGAAAGUUGGGGGAUCGAAGACGAUCAGAUACCGUCGUAGUCUCAACUAUAACUAUACCAGCUAGGGAUCGGCCGACGUUUACUUAUAUCGACUCGGUCGGCACCUUAUGAGAAAUCAAAAGCAUCUGGGUUCCGGGGGGAGUAUGGU
This 516-nucleotide ribosomal RNA is filed under the name uncultured marine eukaryote. RNAcentral's name for it is "bacterial SSU rRNA". It matches the Rfam family "Eukaryotic small subunit ribosomal RNA", at positions 616 to 1129 of the family's 1831-position model. The record is from RNAcentral.